CAGUAGCCGCGGGAAAACGUAGGGUGCGAGCGUUAAUCGGAAUUACUGGGCGUAAAGCGUGCGCAGGCGGUUGUGUAAGACAGGUGUGAAAUCCCCGGGCUUAACCUGGGAACUGCGCUUGUGACUGCACAGCUAGAGUAUGGCAGAGGGGGGUGGAAUUCCACGUGUAGCAGUGAAAUGCGUAGAGAUAUGGAGGAACACCGAUGGCGAAGGCAGCCCCCUGGGCCAAUACUGACGCUCAUGCACGAAAGCGUGGAGAGCAAACAGGAUUAGAUACCCCAGUAGUCCCUGUCUCUUAUAA
This 301-nucleotide ribosomal RNA is filed under the name uncultured bacterium. RNAcentral's name for it is "partial 16S ribosomal RNA". It matches the Rfam family "Bacterial small subunit ribosomal RNA", at positions 509 to 809 of the family's 1533-position model. The record is from RNAcentral.